Molecule: ribosomal RNA, 253 nt
Filed under: uncultured bacterium
Lineage: Bacteria
Description: partial 16S ribosomal RNA
Rfam family: Bacterial small subunit ribosomal RNA
Source: RNAcentral
UACGUAGGGUGCAAGCAUUAAUCGGAUUUAUUGGGCGUAAAGGGCGCGUAGGCGGGCCCGUAAGUCGUAUGUGAAAUCCCGGGGCUCAACCCCGGAACAGCAUAUGAAACUGCGGAUCUAGAGGGUAGGCGGAGAAAACGGAAUUCCACAAGUAGCGGUGAAAUGCGUAGAUAUGUGGAAGAACACCGGUGGCGAAGGCGGUUUUCUAGCUUAUACCUGACGCUAAAGCGCGAAAGCAAGGGGAUCAAACAGG